GUCAAAAUAAAAUAAUCUGCUCAGAUGAUUAUUUAAACAGUGGAUUCCUGAGACCAAUCCCCUGAGAUAUUAGUUGAAUACAACUGAGGAGGAUCUAGAAUCUGUAUUUUAACAAACUCUAGGUGACACUGAUAUAUGGGGAUGGUAUUAUAUUCUGAAACAGACUCCUCUAGGGUUUAAGAGUCUCAGAUGAAGAAUUUCCACUCUAUUCUUCUUCCAGAUUUUGUAUUUUUCAUCUCUUAGAAGAAUCUAAACUCAUAGAUCUUAUAUGCUUUAUUCGGUAUAUGACAUUAUAAUAUGUUGAUAUGAGAAUAAGAAAGUACUUCCUGGUUUCCCACUAGGCUUUUAAUGCCUAGUCCCAUUCCCUUGGGGGAAUUGUGGGGAGAAGAAAGAGAGUAGCUGCUUUCAGAUUCUGUUCGCCACCCUAGGAUUCUUCCAACAGAACACUUGUUGCCCCGAUGACUGUGAAUUAAUUUUUAUGUGCAAUCAAAAACUCCGAUUAAUUCAGCAGGACUUGAAAAGCAGGU
RNAcentral lists this long non-coding RNA (527 nucleotides) under Pan troglodytes (chimpanzee). Its description in RNAcentral is "long non-coding RNA NONPTRT015751". The record is from RNAcentral. Lineage: Eukaryota; Metazoa; Chordata; Mammalia; Primates; Hominidae.